CCCAGGGUUUUGCAUAAUUUAUCUGUUUUUCUCCGCCCACAAUGGCUAAAGCUAAAAAGGGACCAAAGUUUGCUGCUAUGAAGAAGAUUGAUUCUUCCAAAGCAAUCAAAAGCUACAAAGAAGAGGUUUUGAACCUAGAAAAGAAGAAUCUUAUGAAGGAAAAGUUACCCAGUAAUGUGUAAGCUUCCAUCGUCUCAUUAAAAAUUCAACCUUAUGUAUUUGUUGUUUUACUUUAAUUGAAUGUUGAGGUUCAUAUUAAUGUUAGAUAUUAUGAUGAUGAUAGUUUUGUGGUUCCCGUCAAUGUAUGUCAUUUGAAGAUAUCAAAGAGCAAAAAAAAUAAACAAAUAAAUACAAAAAAACCCAAAAAAAAA
Molecule: long non-coding RNA, 371 nt
Organism: Glycine soja
Lineage: Eukaryota; Viridiplantae; Streptophyta; Magnoliopsida; Fabales; Fabaceae
Exons: 2
Source: RefSeq, a predicted model, not a curated record